Molecule: ribosomal RNA, 284 nt
Filed under: Segatella copri DSM 18205
Lineage: Bacteria; Pseudomonadati; Bacteroidota; Bacteroidia; Bacteroidales; Prevotellaceae
Description: Prevotella copri DSM 18205 partial 16S ribosomal RNA
Rfam family: Bacterial small subunit ribosomal RNA
Source: RNAcentral
UCUUUUCCUUUUUUGCCCGCCGCCGCGGUAAUACGGAAGGUCCGGGCGUUAUCCGGAUUUAUUGGGUUUAAAGGGAGCGUAGGCCGGAGAUUAAGCGUGUUGUGAAAUGUAGAUGCUCAACAUCUGAACUGCAGCGCGAACUGGUUUCCUUGAGUACGCACAAAGUGGGCGGAAUUCGUGGUGUAGCGGUGAAAUGCUUAGAUAUCACGAAGAACUCCGAUUGCGAAGGUAGCUCACUGGAGCGCAACUGACGCUGAAGCUCGAAAGUGCGGGUAUCGAACAGG